RNAcentral lists this ribosomal RNA (672 nucleotides) under uncultured Enterobacteriaceae bacterium. RNAcentral describes it as "bacterial SSU rRNA". It matches the Rfam family "Bacterial small subunit ribosomal RNA", at positions 28 to 687 of the family's 1533-position model. The record is from RNAcentral. Lineage: Bacteria; Pseudomonadati; Pseudomonadota; Gammaproteobacteria; Enterobacterales; Enterobacteriaceae.
AUUGAACGCUGGCGGCAGGCCUAACACAUGCAAGUCGAGCGGCAGCGGAAAGUAGCUUGCUACUUUGCCGGCGAGCGGCGGACGGGUGAGUAAUGUCUGGGAAACUGCCUGAUGGAGGGGGAUAACUACUGGAAACGGUAGCUAAUACCGCAUGACCUCGAAAGAGCAAAGUGGGGGAUCUUCGGACCUCACGCCAUCGGAUGUGCCCAGAUGGGAUUAGCUAGUAGGUGAGGUAAUGGCUCACCUAGGCGACGAUCCCUAGCUGGUCUGAGAGGAUGACCAGCCACACUGGAACUGAGACACGGUCCAGACUCCUACGGGAGGCAGCAGUGGGGAAUAUUGCACAAUGGGCGCAAGCCUGAUGCAGCCAUGCCGCGUGUGUGAAGAAGGCCUUAGGGUUGUAAAGCACUUUCAGCGAGGAGGAAGGCAUCACACUUAAUACGUGUGGUGAUUGACGUUACUCGCAGAAGAAGCACCGGCUAACUCCGUGCCAGCAGCCGCGGUAAUACGGAGGGUGCAAAGCGUUAAUCGGAAUUACUGGGCGUAAAGCGCACGCAGGCGGUUUGUUAAGUCAGAUGUGAAAUCCCCGCGCUUAACGUGGGAACUGCAUUUGAAACUGGCAAGCUAGAGUCUUGUUGAGGGGCGUAGUAAUUUCAGGUGUUGAGGUGAAAU